GACGGUAUUUAACCAGAAAGCCACGGCUAACUACGUGCCAGCAGCCGCGGUAAUACGUAGGUGGCAAGCGUUGUCCGGAUUUAUUGGGCGUAAAGCGAGCGCAGGCGGUUUUUUAAGUCUGAUGUGAAAGCCUUCGGCUCAACCGAAGAAGUGCAUCGGAAACUGGCAAACUUGAGUGCAGAAGAGGACAGUGGAACUCCAUGUGUAGCGGUGAAAUGCGUAGAUAUAUGGAAGAACACCAGUGGCGAAGGCGGCUGUCUGGUCUGCAACUGACGCUGAGGCUCGAAAGUAUGGGUAGCAAACAGGAUUAGAUACCCUGGUAGUCCAUGCCGUAAACGAUGAAUGCUAAGUGUUGGAGGGUUUCCGCCCUUCAGUGCUGCAGCUAACGCAUUAAGCAUUCCGCCUGGGGAGUACGGCCGCAAGGCUGAAACUCAAAGGAAUUGACGGGGGCCCGCACAAGCGGUGGAGCAUGUGGUUUAAUUCGAAGCUACGCGAAGAACCUUACCAGGUCUUGACA
Molecule: ribosomal RNA, 517 nt
Filed under: Lactiplantibacillus plantarum
Lineage: Bacteria; Bacillati; Bacillota; Bacilli; Lactobacillales; Lactobacillaceae
Description: bacterial SSU rRNA
Rfam family: Bacterial small subunit ribosomal RNA
Source: RNAcentral